GUCGAACGGCAGCACGGGUGCUUGCACCUGGUGGCGAGUGGCGAACGGGUGAGUAAUACAUCGGAACAUGUCCUGUAGUGGGGGAUAGCCCGGCGAAAGCCGGAUUAAUACCGCAUACGAUCUAUGGAUGAAAGCGGGGGACCUUCGGGCCUCGCGCUAUAGGGUUGGCCGAUGGCUGAUUAGCUAGUUGGUGGGGUAAAGGCCUACCAAGGCGACGAUCAGUAGCUGGUCUGAGAGGACGACCAGCCACACUGGGACUGAGACACGGCCCAGACUCCUACGGGAGGCAGCAGUGGGGAAUUUUGGACAAUGGGCGAAAGCCUGAUCCAGCAAUGCCGCGUGUGUGAAGAAGGCCUUCGGGUUGUAAAGCACUUUUGUCCGGAAAGAAAUCCUUGGUUCUAAUAUAGCCGGGGGAUGACGGUACCGGAAGAAUAAGCACCGGCUAACUACGUGCCAGCAGCCGCGGUAAUACGUAGGGUGCGAGCGUUAAUCGGAAUUACUGGGCGUAAAGCGUGCGCAGGCGGUUUGCUAAGACCGAUGUGAAAUCCCCGGGCUCAACCUGGGAACUGCAUUGGUGACUGGCAGGCUAGAGUAUGGCAGAGGGGGGUAGAAUUCCACGUGUAGCAGUGAAAUGCGUAGAGAUGUGGAGGAAUACCGAUGGCGAAGGCAGCCCCCUGGGCCAAUACUGACGCUCAUGCAC
This 700-nucleotide ribosomal RNA is filed under the name uncultured beta proteobacterium. RNAcentral's name for it is "bacterial SSU rRNA". It matches the Rfam family "Bacterial small subunit ribosomal RNA", at positions 61 to 754 of the family's 1533-position model. Lineage: Bacteria; Pseudomonadati; Pseudomonadota; Betaproteobacteria. The record is from RNAcentral.